RNAcentral lists this ribosomal RNA (497 nucleotides) under uncultured bacterium. RNAcentral describes it as "partial 16S ribosomal RNA". It matches the Rfam family "Bacterial small subunit ribosomal RNA", at positions 28 to 507 of the family's 1533-position model. The record is from RNAcentral.
GAUGAACGCUGGCGGCGUGCCUAAUACAUGCAAGUCGAGCGAACAGACGAGGAGCUUGCUCCUUUGACGUUAGCGGCGGACGGGUGAGUAACACGUGGAUAACCUACCUAUAAGACUGGGAUAACUUCGGGAAACCGGAGCUAAUACCGGAUAAUAUAUUGAACCGCAUGGUUCAAUAGUGAAAGACGGUUUUGCUGUCACUUAUAGAUGGAUCCGCGCCGCAUUAGCUAGUUGGUAAGGUAACGGCUUACCAAGGCAACGAUGCGUAGCCGACCUGAGAGGGUGAUCGGCCACACUGGAACUGAGACACGGUCCAGACUCCUACGGGAGGCAGCAGUAGGGAAUCUUCCGCAAUGGGCGAAAGCCUGACGGAGCAACGCCGCGUGAGUGAUGAAGGUCUUCGGAUCGUAAAACUCUGUUAUUAGGGUAGAACAAAUGUGUAAGUAACUAUGCACGUCUUGACGGUACCUAAUCAGAAAGCCACGGCUAACUACGUG